Hibiscus syriacus is the source of this 243-nucleotide long non-coding RNA. RefSeq lists it as uncharacterized. The transcript is spliced from 3 exons. The record is from RefSeq and is a predicted model, not a curated record. Lineage: Eukaryota; Viridiplantae; Streptophyta; Magnoliopsida; Malvales; Malvaceae.
AAUGUGACAAUAUAUGACUGGGAUAUAGUGUGGAAGAGUGCAAUCCUUGGUUAAGUUACUGUUCCAGUUGAAAGUGUAGGUGAAAGCACCCCAGUAUGGCAUACAUUAGACAGGGAACCUGGACAGGUUUGUCUACACAUUACAACACAAAAAUCACCUGUAAAUUCUUCCAGGCGUGUAAAUGGAUAUGCUGGAGCUGGAGCUCGAAGAAGGGUCACUUCAGAAAAACAAGGGCCUAUAGUG